CUGGGCUCCGGACAUCUGCUGUCAGUGCAGGUGGCUACCUGUCCUUGAGCUGUCCCCAAUGCUUCUCAGCUUUGCUAGGAGCUGAGUGCUCUCUUGUCUGUGACAGUGACCUGAUUUAAGCGUGGGGUGGCCCCCUGCACUAUAGACAAGACAAGACAUUUCAAAGAAAGUAUUAAAUUCAUUCAUGAGUGCCGGCUCCGCGGUGAGAGCUGCCUUGUACACUGCCUGGCCGGGGUCUCCAGGAGCGUGACACUGGUGAUCGCAUACAUCAUGACCGUCACUGACUUUGGCUGGGAGGAUGCCCUGCACACCGUGCGUGCUGGGAGAUCCUGUGCCAACCCCAACGUGGGCUUCCAGAGACAGCUCCAGGAGUUUGAGAAGCAUGAGGUCCAUCAGUAUCGGCAGUGGCUGAAGGAAGAAUAUGGAGAGAGCCCUUUGCAGGAUGCAGAAGAAGCCAAAAACAUUCUGGGUAAAUAUAAGGAGCAAGGGCGCACGGAGCCCCAGCCCGGCGCCAGGCGGUGGAGCAGUUUUCCAGC
Molecule: small RNA, 536 nt
Filed under: Pan troglodytes (chimpanzee)
Lineage: Eukaryota; Metazoa; Chordata; Mammalia; Primates; Hominidae
Description: processed transcript
Source: RNAcentral